Non-coding RNA from Culex pipiens (northern house mosquito), 74 nucleotides. The record is from Rfam. Lineage: Eukaryota; Metazoa; Arthropoda; Insecta; Diptera; Culicidae.
GGCUCCGUGGCUUAAUGGUUACGGUUUCUGCCUCACAAGCAGAAGUUUCAGGUCUCAAAUCCCGGUCGGUACCU